GCAAGGCUGAAACUCAAAGGAAUUGACGGGGGCCCGCACAAGCGGUGGAGCAUGUGGUUUAAUUCGAAGCAACGCGCAGAACCUUACCAAGGCUUGAAAUCCUUCGAAUCCCGAGUAAUUUUGGGAGUGCCCGCAAGGGAAUGAAGUGACAGGUGCUGCAUGGCUGUCGUCAGCUCGUGUUGUGAAAUGUUGGGUUAAGUCUCGCAACGAGCGCAACCCCUAUCUUUAGUUGCCAGCAUUAAGUUGGGCACUCUAGAGAGACUGCCCGGGUUAACCGGGAGGAAGGUGGGGAUGACGUCAAGUCCUCAUGGCCCUUAUGCCUUGGGCUACACACGUAAUACAAUGGUUGGUACAGAGGGACGCGAGCAUGCGAAUGUCAGCAAAUCUCAAAAAGCCAAUCUCAGUCCGGAUUGGAGUCUGCAACUCGACUCCAUGAAGUUGGAAUCGCUAGUAAUCGGAGAUCAGCACGCUCCGGUGAAUACGUUCCCGGGCCUUGUACACACCGCCC
Molecule: ribosomal RNA, 508 nt
Filed under: uncultured delta proteobacterium
Lineage: Bacteria; Deltaproteobacteria
Description: bacterial SSU rRNA
Rfam family: Bacterial small subunit ribosomal RNA
Source: RNAcentral